CUCGUAGGUGGCCAACUAAGUCAGACGUGAAAUCCCUCGGCUUAACCGGGGAACUGCGUCUGAUACUGGAUGGCUUGAGUUUGGGAGAGGGACGCGGAAUUCCAGGUGUAGCGGUGAAAUGCGUAGAUAUCUGGAGGAACACCGGUGGCGAAGGCGGCGUCCUGGCCAACACUGACACUGAUGAGCGAAAGCCAAGGGGGAGCAAACGG
This 209-nucleotide ribosomal RNA is filed under the name uncultured bacterium. Its description in RNAcentral is "partial 16S ribosomal RNA". It matches the Rfam family "Bacterial small subunit ribosomal RNA", at positions 568 to 775 of the family's 1533-position model. The record is from RNAcentral.